This is a long non-coding RNA of Papilio polytes (common Mormon), 327 nucleotides long. RefSeq lists it as uncharacterized. The record is from RefSeq and is a predicted model, not a curated record. The transcript is spliced from 3 exons. Lineage: Eukaryota; Metazoa; Arthropoda; Insecta; Lepidoptera; Papilionidae.
GUGAAGUCGCACUGGAACAGCUAGUUAAAUCUAAAAUUACGAAAAUUCCUUCUUCAUAUUGUGCUUAUUAAAAACCGGAAAACAUAAAGCUAUCAUUCAAAGUAAAACUUUGGAUGAAGCCAACCAUUCAAAUAAUAGAAUUGAAAAACCACCACUAGUAACCAAUUCAUUGCAAAAGAAAAAUGAGAAAUUUGAUAAAAGUCAAUUGGAUGCUUUAAUAACUGAUCUUGAAGCAUGGGAAGAAGACAUGAUUGUAAUGGCAAAUACGGAAAUCACGAGUUUGAAGAAACUCGAAAAUUCUAAUUUAAAAAUAGACAAGGAGCUGGU